Sinocyclocheilus anshuiensis is the source of this 176-nucleotide long non-coding RNA. RefSeq lists it as uncharacterized. NCBI's taxonomy places the organism in Eukaryota, Metazoa, Chordata, Actinopteri, Cypriniformes, Cyprinidae. The transcript has 3 exons. The record is from RefSeq and is a predicted model, not a curated record.
UGCCAUGAGGAGCAUCAGUUCUGGGAACCAGGUCCAGUUGGGCCAGUAAGGCGCAACUAGCAGGACCUGCUCCUCGUCCUCCCUGACCUUGCACAGUGUCUGUGCAAGUAGGCUCACUGGGGAAACGCAUAUUUUCAUAGGCCCCGGGGGCCAGCUGUAAAAGCAAUCUCAGGGAC